Molecule: long non-coding RNA, 614 nt
Organism: Fundulus heteroclitus (mummichog)
Lineage: Eukaryota; Metazoa; Chordata; Actinopteri; Cyprinodontiformes; Fundulidae
Exons: 3
Source: RefSeq, a predicted model, not a curated record
ACUGUACGAAGUCUGACACAAAGCUUCCGGCCUAAACUGUAGCUAACGGGAAAGCUUUUCUUUUUUCUUUUUUUUUUCUCGGAAAGCCCUCAACCGACAUGAAAGCUGCGUGACCUAAGAGUGAAAGCAGACAAAAAGGAAAUGACUCGUUGAUCAGUUAGGGUACAAAGAGGGGGGUCUAAUCACUUUCUGAACAUUUUUGUACCAAGGCGUUGACAGUCCAGAGAUUUCUUUGACAAAGUGCAAUCUGUAGAUUGGUCUUUUGUUCAGCCUCACAUUUGGAUUUUCUGUCAAUAUCCUGCUGGUUAUAAAACAGGCUCGUCGCAGGCCGGAGGGGGAAGGAGAACUUUACAAGGCAAAUUGUCAGAGCAACAACUGAAGUUUCACUGUCAGGUUACACAAAUCUACAGAAUCACUGUGUAAAGCGGGUGCAUGCAUACAGCUGCCUUUUCUGCCGAUCUCGCCAUAAAAGCUGUAGGGGAAGAUCGGAAGGCUGUUUAAUGAAAAAUGGAAUUUAAUUGGUGAACGAGCAGAAGGUAAAUAUGGAAUAAUAAAAAAGAGGAACGCAGUGGGAACAGUACAGGGAAGUUGAGAAAUAUUUACCCCUCCCCUUU